ACGGAGGAUGCGAGCGUUAUCCGGAUUCAUUGGGUUUAAAGGGUGCGUAGGCGGACUAUUAAGUCAGUGGUGAAAUCUUGCAGCUUAACUGCAGAACUGCCAUUGAUACUGAUAGCCUUGAGUUUGGUUAAGGUAGGCGGAAUGUGUAAUUUAGCAGUGUAAAGCUUAUAUCCUGCAGAGAACACCCGUGGCGUAGGCUUCUUACCAAGUCAACUCCGACGCUGAUUGACGAAAGCUUGUGGAUCGAACCG
RNAcentral lists this ribosomal RNA (251 nucleotides) under uncultured prokaryote. RNAcentral's name for it is "partial 16S rRNA". It matches the Rfam family "Bacterial small subunit ribosomal RNA", at positions 525 to 775 of the family's 1533-position model. The record is from RNAcentral.